AAGCAUGAUCAAGAAAUGCCAAGAUUAUGAUGUCCUUACAUCACUAGAUAUGGCCUUUAGUUAGACCUAAUGGAAGGCAAAACAUCAUAAUGAUCGUUGUAUUUUGAAAAUUUAGGCUUCACAUAUCUUUAAAGUUAAUUUUUGCUCGCAUGGCAUUACCUGAAGGCUGUGGUGGGCCUUUGUAUAAGCAGAUUCUUUGAUUUGGCUGCAGCUUCACAUCUCUUUUCCAUGUGCAGUUUUUAUUUUUAAGGAUAAACAAUAAUUAUAUUUAUAAGAAAAGGGGGAGGGAAAGGAGAAACCCCACCGUCUCUCACAGAACUUGGGGGAUUGUUUAUUUUUUGUUUCUCUUUUUAAUAUAUAUAUAUAUAUGUAUAUUUUGGGUUAGAAACCAAGCUUUCACCGAAGAAAAUGGAAGAAUAUAUAAGGACAUACAAAAAACAAGUUCACAACUACCUACAAGAGUGAACUCCAAUCCAAAAGAAUGAUACUAAACUGAUAAUUACAGGUAGUCAGAUAGACAUACAGCCACAAUGAGACACUAAACCUCUUCCGUCCAAAGCUCCUCCAAAAACCUCUUCAUCCCUCUAAAAGCUGUACUGCUCCUCUCAAUCCACACUUCCCACGAAAUAGCUUUAGUCUGCCACAAGGUCCUGUCCUUAUUACGAAGCAGGGAGAGCGAGUUCAACACAUUCUCUUCAAACAAAGACUUCUAGAGGUUUUGUGGAUCGGUGACAGUGCUCUCCAGUCUUAAGAGUUCCUUGAAGAGAUAAAAAGAUCAAAACUUAGAUGUGUACAUAGCAAUUUAUUGAUUAAUUUAACUCAACUCUAUACUAAUAUUUAGUUUAUAUAAAAAUUUAAUUGGUUUUAGUAGCAGAAGAAAAAAAUCUACAUCACAUGCAUUGUUGUCCGUCUUGUUGAUUUUUUACCUUAAUUCACGCAUGUCAAAUACACCUUCAACUUUCUUACUAUAUUGCUAGAAUUACUUUUAACCAAGAUGUUCUCUUCGUUUGAUAAUUGAGCUGAAAUUGCUGACAUGAUUCCUUCCUUUCUUUUCUCAC
RNAcentral lists this long non-coding RNA (1058 nucleotides) under Cucumis sativus (cucumber). Its description in RNAcentral is "long non-coding RNA (CSAT_LNC001808)". The record is from RNAcentral. Lineage: Eukaryota; Viridiplantae; Streptophyta; Magnoliopsida; Cucurbitales; Cucurbitaceae.